CAACCCUUAAACUUAGGUUUGAUGUUGGGCCUUGUCGUCAUGACAUGCCUUAAAUUUAGUGAUGGUAACCUUUCUCCACAGGCGCACAGAUGCUGCCAUGAUGGUGUUACAGGCGGCCACUCAACCCCAAAAUUCUGAA
RNAcentral lists this unclassified non-coding RNA (139 nucleotides) under uncultured Lecanoromycetes. RNAcentral's name for it is "sequence contains ITS2". The record is from RNAcentral. Lineage: Eukaryota; Fungi; Ascomycota; Lecanoromycetes.